Molecule: non-coding RNA, 21 nt
Filed under: Caenorhabditis elegans
Lineage: Eukaryota; Metazoa; Nematoda; Chromadorea; Rhabditida; Rhabditidae
Source: RNAcentral
UUUUGCAAACAUGUUUAUUGU